GACGAACGCUGGCGGCGUGCUUAACACAUGCAAGUCGAACGGAAAGGCCCUGCUUUUGUGGGGUGCUCGAGUGGCGAACGGGUGAGUAACACGUGAGUAACCUGCCCUUGACUUUGGGAUAACUUCAGGAAACUGGGGCUAAUACCGGAUAGGAGCUCCUGCUGCAUGGUGGGGGUUGGAAAGUUUCGGCGGUUGGGGAUGGACCCGCGGCUUAUCAGCUUGUUGGUGGGGUAGUGGCUUACCAAGGCUUUGACGGGUAGCCGGCCUGAGAGGGUGACCGGCCACAUUGGGACUGAGAUACGGCCCAGACUCCUACGGGAGGCAGCAGUGGGGAAUAUUGCACAAUGGGCGGAAGCCUGAUGCAGCAACGCCGCGUGCGGGAUGACGGCCUUCGGGUUGUAAACCGCUUUCGCCUGUGACGAAGCGUGAGUGACGGUAAUGGGUAAAGAAGCGCCAGCUAACUACGUGC
RNAcentral lists this ribosomal RNA (469 nucleotides) under uncultured bacterium. RNAcentral's name for it is "partial 16S ribosomal RNA". It matches the Rfam family "Bacterial small subunit ribosomal RNA", at positions 28 to 508 of the family's 1533-position model. The record is from RNAcentral.